RNAcentral lists this long non-coding RNA (1821 nucleotides) under Sus scrofa (pig). RNAcentral's name for it is "lncRNA (ENSSSCG00030073780.1)". The record is from RNAcentral. Lineage: Eukaryota; Metazoa; Chordata; Mammalia; Artiodactyla; Suidae.
CUCGAGGGCCUGACACGGGGCUGGCAUGGAAGAGGUGCUUGGUAAGUGAUUACCAAACACAGGACCACUGGUGAGGUACUGCUGCCCCGGAUCCUCCUGCCACAGCCGCUGCUGGCUCAUCUUCCCAUCAUGUCCAAAGCCUUCUGCCUGCAAAGAUUCAUCGAGCCUAAGAGUUCCCGUUGUGGCACAAUGGAAACGAAUCCAACUAGGAACCAUGAGGUUGUGGGUUUGAUCCCUGGCCUUGCUCAGUGGGUUAAGAAUCUGGCAUUGCCAUGAGCUGUGGUGUGGGUCACAGACGCAGCUCGGAUCUCUGCUGUGGUUCUGGCGUAGGCCAGUGGCUACAGCUCUGAUUCGACCCCUAGCCUGGGAACCUCCAUAUGCCACAGGAGCAGCCCUAAAAAGACAAAAAAAAAAAAAAAGAAAGAUUCAUCGAGCCCCUGCUUGGUACCCUGUGCUGGCCCCAGGGGCAGAGAGGCAGUGUAGUCCACGCCCACAGGAGCUUUUGGUCUGGGUGGGAAGUGUGGUACCCUGAGGCCACUGAGAGCCCUGUGAUGCUGCAUGUGGAACCUGGGAUAACAGCCACCCUUCCGUCUUUUCCUGACCUUGCAGAGUCACCUGCCAGAGCAACUCCACAGGGUCUCCUGCCCACUUUGCAGAUGGGGAAGCGAGCCGGGAGAGGUCAAGUGAGUCACCUGCCGUCACCCAGGUCACUACGGACCCUGAAGUCCAGGCUACAGCCUCCCAUGCAAAUGCUUUUCAAGAAGGCAGGGGUGCCUCCCACUCCAGGACACCCCAAGAAUGCAGUCAGUAUUGCUAUUUAAGCACAGUCCAGGCUCAAGGUGCUGUGCUGGGGGCAGCCCGUGAUCCACGAGAAACACCGGUCUUGCCUCAGGCCGGCNGGGGGGGGGGGGGGGGGGGGGGGGGGGGGGGGAGGCGGGGAUGAGCCCAUGUGGCUGCAUGUUAACCAAGAAUGCGAGGGAAAUGCCCAGUGGUUCAGACCAGGAAGAUAGUUUGCAAAAUUUUCACAAGAAAAUGCCCCCAGGGGAGAUUUAGUUAGAAAAGCAGCUCCCAGGGAGAUCCCUGGGGUCUCCUCAUUUCCCAGCCCUGACAACCCCCGCCUGCAACCCUGACUUCGCUGACGAGCCCGUAGCUGAAAAAGCGCAGAAUCAACAAAAUUAGAUGAUGUUGACAUCCCUGUGUCGGGCUUUCUCCUAGACCCGCGCUCUGCUGGCAGGAUGGGGGUGCUGUCCUGCCCAGGGCCCCCAGGGGCACCUGACUGUCACCAAGAAUCAAGGUGGGUGUGCAUGUGUGACGAAUGCACGCCUUCUUCUUUCUAAGGUUUUUCCAUUGCAGAGGUUGACCUCAAAAGGAGUAUCUCCUGGAGUCCCUGUUGUGACACAGUGGAAACGAAUCUCACUAGUAUCCAUGAGGAUGUGGGUUCGAUCCCUGACUGCACUCAGUGGGUUAAGGAUCCAGCAUUGCAGUGAGCUGUGGUGUAGGCCAGCAGCUGCAGCUCCAAUUCGACCCCUAGCCUGGGAACUUCCAUAUGCCACAGGUACGGCCCUAAAAAGCAGGGGGGAAAAAGAGUAUCUCCUUAAACUUUUGUUGUUCUUAUAGUAAGCUUUUGCUGAAAUCUGUUUCCUGUAUGUUAUGUAUACAUAUAACAGAAAAGGAUGCAAAUCAUAAACCCAGUCAAUUUUCAUUAAAUUGUCGGGAAGGAAGAAAAGCUUACACUUCUAGGUUCUGCUGGCUGGUCUAAGAAUUAAAUUUACAUGAGGAUUAACAGGAGAAAAUCGCAUUAAAAAAAUUUUUUUCCAUCUU